Molecule: ribosomal RNA, 232 nt
Filed under: uncultured bacterium
Lineage: Bacteria
Description: partial 16S ribosomal RNA
Rfam family: Bacterial small subunit ribosomal RNA
Source: RNAcentral
GCUUUCCUACGGGGCGCAGCAGUGGGGAAUAUUGCACAAUGGGCGAAAGCCUGAUGCAGCAACGCCGCGUGAAGGAAGACGGUUUUCGGAUUGUAAACUUCUGUUCUUAGUGAAGAAUAAUGACGGUAACUAAGGAGCAAGCCACGGCUAACUACGUGACAGCAGCCGCGGUAAUACGUAGGUGGCAAGCGUUGUCCGGAAUUACUGGGGGUAAAGGGAGCGUAGGCGGGAA